RNAcentral lists this ribosomal RNA (253 nucleotides) under uncultured bacterium. RNAcentral describes it as "partial 16S ribosomal RNA". It matches the Rfam family "Bacterial small subunit ribosomal RNA", at positions 524 to 776 of the family's 1533-position model. The record is from RNAcentral.
UACGGAGGGUGCAAGCGUUAUCCGGAUUCACUGGGUUUAAAGGGUGCGUAGGCGGGCAGGUAAGUCAGCGGUGAAAUCUCCGAGCUUAACUCGGAAACUGCCGUUGAUACUAUUUGUCUUGAAUAUUGUGGAGGUAAGCGGAAUAUGUCAUGUAGCGGUGAAAUGCUUAGAUAUGACAUAGAACACCAAUUGCGAAGGCAGCUUACUACACAACGAUUGACGCUGAGGCACGAAAGCGUGGGGAUCAAACAGG